Molecule: ribosomal RNA, 301 nt
Filed under: uncultured bacterium
Lineage: Bacteria
Description: partial 16S ribosomal RNA
Rfam family: Bacterial small subunit ribosomal RNA
Source: RNAcentral
CAGUAGCGCGGUAAUACGUAGGGUGCAAGCGUUAAUCGGAAUUACUGGGCGUAAAGCGUGCGCAGGCGGUUAUAUAAGACAGAUGUGAAAUCCCCGGGCUCAACCUGGGAACUGCAUUUGUGACUGUAUAGCUAGAGUACGGCAGAGGGGGAUGGAAUUCCGCGUGUAGCAGUGAAAUGCGUAGAUAUGCGGAGGAACACCGAUGGCGAAGGCAAUCCCCUGGGCCUGUACUGACGCUCAUGCACGAAAGCGUGGGGAGCAAACAGGAUUAGAUACCCCAGUAGUCCCUGUCUCUUAUACC